RNAcentral lists this ribosomal RNA (255 nucleotides) under Enterobacter cloacae. Its description in RNAcentral is "partial 23S ribosomal RNA". It matches the Rfam family "Bacterial large subunit ribosomal RNA", at positions 2061 to 2315 of the family's 2925-position model. Lineage: Bacteria; Pseudomonadati; Pseudomonadota; Gammaproteobacteria; Enterobacterales; Enterobacteriaceae. The record is from RNAcentral. RNAcentral also lists the same sequence under 2 other names.
GCAGUGUACCCGCGGCAAGACGGAAAGACCCCGUGAACCUUUACUAUAGCUUGACACUGAACACUGGUCCUUGAUGUGUAGGAUAGGUGGGAGGCUUUGAAGCGUGGACGCCAGUCUGCGUGGAGCCAUCCUUGAAAUACCACCCUUUAAUGGCUGGUGUUCUAACGUAGACCCGUAAUCCGGGUUGCGGACAGUGUCUGGUGGGUAGUUUGACUGGGGCGGUCUCCUCCCAAAGAGUAACGGAGGAGCACGAAG